GAAAUGCGAUAAGUAGUGUGAAUUGCAGAAUUCCGUGAAUCAUCAAGUUUUUGAACGCACAUUGCACUCUAUGGCAUUCCGUAGAGUAUACCUGUUUGAGCAUCAGUAACCUACCAUCACCAGGAAGGGUUUUUUC
Molecule: unclassified non-coding RNA, 136 nt
Filed under: uncultured fungus
Lineage: Eukaryota; Fungi
Description: sequence contains ITS1
Rfam family: 5.8S ribosomal RNA (bases 1-105)
About the family: 5.8S ribosomal RNA (5.8S rRNA) is a component of the large subunit of the eukaryotic ribosome. It is transcribed by RNA polymerase I as part of the 45S precursor that also contains 18S and 28S rRNA.
Source: RNAcentral